Molecule: ribosomal RNA, 245 nt
Filed under: uncultured Acholeplasma sp.
Lineage: Bacteria; Bacillati; Mycoplasmatota; Mollicutes; Acholeplasmatales; Acholeplasmataceae
Description: partial 16S ribosomal RNA
Rfam family: Bacterial small subunit ribosomal RNA
Source: RNAcentral
UACAUAGGGGGCGAGCGUUAUCCGGAUUUACUGGGCGUAAAGGGUGCGUAGGUGGUUAUAAAAGUUUGUGGUGUAAGUGCAGUGCUUAACGCUGUGAGGCUAUGAAAACUAUAUGACUAGAGUGAGACAGAGGCAAGUGGAAUUCCAUGUGUAGCGGUAAAAUGCGUAAAUAUAUGGAGGAACACCAGUGGCGAAGGCGGCUUGCUGGGUCUAAACUGACACUGAUGCACGAAAGCGUGGGGAGC